AGUGAACGCUGGCGGCGUGCCUAAUACAUGCAAGUCGAACGGAGAUUAAAUAGCUUGCUAUUUAAUCUUAGUGGCGCACGGGUGAGUAAUGUAUAGUUAAUCUGCCCCAUAGUGGAGGACAACAGUUAGAAAUGACUGCUAAUACUCCAUACUCCUUCUUAUCAUAAGUUAAGUCGGGAAAGUUUUUCGCUAUGGGAUGAGACUAUAUCGUAUCAGUUAGUUGGUAAGGUAAUGGCUUACCAAGGCUAUGACGCGUAACUGGUCUGAGAGGAUGAUCAGUCACAUUGGAACUGAGACACGGUCCAAACUCCUACGGGAGGCAGCAGUAGGGAAUAUUGCGCAAUGGGGGAAACCCUGACGCAGCAACGCCGCGUGGAGGAUGACACUUUUCGGAGCGUAAACUCCUUUUGUUAGGGAAG
RNAcentral lists this ribosomal RNA (419 nucleotides) under Campylobacter sp. oral taxon 044. Its description in RNAcentral is "bacterial SSU rRNA". It matches the Rfam family "Bacterial small subunit ribosomal RNA", at positions 29 to 447 of the family's 1533-position model. The record is from RNAcentral. Lineage: Bacteria; Pseudomonadati; Campylobacterota; Epsilonproteobacteria; Campylobacterales; Campylobacteraceae.